AGCUUUGGACAAUGGGCGCAAGCCUGACCCAGCCAUGCCGCGUGAGUGAAGAAGGCCUCUGGGUUGUAAAUCUCUUUCGGACGGAAAGAAAUCGCGUCGGCUAAUACCCUCCGCGGCUGACGGUACCGUCAUAAGAAGCACCGGCUAACUACGUGCCAUCAGCCGCGGUAAUACGUAGGGUGCGAGCGUUAAUCGGAAUUACUGGGCGUAAAGCGUGCGCAGGCGGUUGAUUAAGACAGGCGUGAAAUCCCCGGGCUUAACCUGGGAACUGCGCUUGUGACUGGGCAGCUAGAGUACGGCAGAGGGGGGUGGAAUUCCACGUGUAGCAGUGAAAUGCGUAGGGAUGUGGAGGAACACCGAUGGCGAAGGCAGCCCCCUGGGCCGAUACUGACGCUCAUGCACGAAAGCGUGGGUAGCAAACAGG
RNAcentral lists this ribosomal RNA (424 nucleotides) under uncultured bacterium. RNAcentral's name for it is "partial 16S ribosomal RNA". It matches the Rfam family "Bacterial small subunit ribosomal RNA", at positions 359 to 776 of the family's 1533-position model. The record is from RNAcentral.